This is a non-coding RNA of Durio zibethinus, 3863 nucleotides long. Lineage: Eukaryota; Viridiplantae; Streptophyta; Magnoliopsida; Malvales; Malvaceae. The record is from RefSeq and is a predicted model, not a curated record.
UACAAUUAAGAGCAAGUCUCGUUCAAUUAAACAUCUAAAUCGAUCAAAUGUCAUUGCUAAUAAUUAUUUUUCCUUUCCUUUAAGAUUGCUAAUGUAAAUCUAUCCACUAACAUCUAUAACAUCGGACACCUAACAAAUGUUUAAAAAAAAAAAAAAAAGGAUUAAAGGGAAAUCGAGGGAACAUGGCUUCUCCAAAAAGCUUGAAGGGAGAAGCUUCUGCUAAAUUUUUAUUGUCUUGACUCAAAACAAACGUUAAAAACCCUCCAAUCUCAAAACGUAAACUCUCCAAUCUUAAGACUUAAACCCUCCAAUCUCAUGCUACUAUAGCUGCCUUACUCUUCUCUUCAGUAUUGUUGAAAUAAAUUGAAGCUAUCCAGAUGCUUCCCAGAGACGGACGUAGCCACUGGAUGAAGCGAGAAGAUCCGAGGAGGAAGAGGAAGGGGUUUUCGGUUAGGUAAUUUUCCUUUAACCAUUUUUAUUUUCUUUGCAUGUUUUAUAUAUUCUUUUUGUUUUGCUUUGCAUGCAAUUCUUAUAGGAAAAAGAAUGGGUUGUGUAGAUCGUUUGUGAGGUUUGUUCUUCCGGUCUUUUAACAUUAUUUGACCACUUUUCGGAGUGUUCAAUUAGCAACUUUUAUGAAAAUUUUUCAUUUUAUUUACAAUGGUUUCUUGACUUUGCAUGUGACCAAUUCCUAGUCGUGCAUGCCGAAUUUUUUUCCGUGUUUGUUUGCUGCGAAAAUCAUGGAAGAGGAAGAGAGUUAGGAAUUUCUAAUAGUAUUAUUAUUAUUAUUUUUUUUUGGUUGUCAAAAGUUGGCAAUAGCUUAGUUGAAACGUUGGUUUCAAGUAUUUUCUCCGUAUUUACCAUUUCACUAUUUUGACCAGUUGAUUUCUGUGGUCAAAUUAUUCAAUGAAUAUGUUUUAAACUGUUUUAUUGUAUUUAAGUUCCCAUUUCAAUCUCCGAUGAGGCCUUGGCUUAUUGUUAAGAAAAAGGUCUUAAAAUCUUGAGCUUCUAGGUUUAAGUCUCAACGAGUGUGGAUUUGGAUGUUUAGAUAUGAUAUAAUUUGUUAGUUUAUUAGAUAUGAUGUAAUAUAUGAUUAUGAGUGUAACUUAAAAAAAAGUUACCUUUUCAAUCUGAUGAUUAUGUGUUCUUUUGCUUAAUUGUAGGAAUAUGUGUAUAAAAGGCUUUAGUUCAGGUACAGUCAUCAGAAAUUUCCCACAUUUUGUUUAUAAUAUGUAUUUCUUGAAAUAUGCCAGCUUCCACAUGUAUACUUGGAUUUUUAUUGACUUAAAUCUUGCAAAUGUUCUAGCUAUGGAUGCUAUUUUACUUUUGUCCAAGGAUUUGUUUACCUGAUAUUGAUACGGCUUCAAGGCUUCACUAUGAAGCAAAUGGUCAAUCCACGGAAAACAUAUGUAAAACUAUCUGCUAUUCUCAUGGGUUCUCAUGGAUUAAUAAAGGGUUCACUGGCCUACCUUAACUACCCUGCACAAAUUAUGUUUAAAUCUACAAAGGUAACAAGUCAAAAACUGUGUAUAUUGUUCUUUCUGAAGCUAUUGUAACAUUCUGCAACGUAAUGCUCUCUUUUGUUGUGUUAAUUCUGACAAUAUUGUCAAGAAUUUUAGGUGCUGCCAGUUAUGAUCAUGGGUGCCUUCAUCCCUAGCUUGAGAAGGAAAUACCCAUUUCAUGAAUACAUCUCUACUAUGCUUCUUAUGGUUGGCCUCAUCAUCUCAAAAUUUUAGCAUCAUUGGUGUUAUAAUGAUUUUGGGUGCUUUAAUUAUGGUUGCUUUUCUAGGUAAUUUUCUGGAAGCAAUUUUCACCAUGAAUCCGGACACAACCCAGAUGGAGAUGUUGUUCUACUUAACGUUUUUUCCUAUGUCAAGACAUUCUUUAAUUUUAUUUACCAAAUUAAGACAUGUUCUUGUGGAACCGCCUGCAAUUUUAUCCACUGUUUCCCAAACCUUGGUGAAGACUAUAAAUGGGCAGAUUUGGACAAACCACCCCCAAGAUAUUGGGUGAAAAAGAUGGCUGCUUUAUUUGGAUAUGCUGAUAAGGCUAGGUCUGAGAAAGAUAGAACAAGAGCAUUCAGGGCAGUCAAGAAACCCUAGCUGGAUGGUAAAAUCAGAUGAUGACAGGUAUGCAGUUUUAAUUGUAGUUGCAACUCAACUACUACUUUUGGUUUUGGUAUAUUACCAUAUGCUUUGUGUUGGUCUUGCCCAUUACUAAUUAAAAUUCUUACAUGUUAAUUGUCGUAAAAUGUUUGGAUUUUAAAUUUUCUUUUAAAAGCUUUUGGAAAUAUAAAUUAUAAAACAAUUUUGUCAUUUAUCGAAAUGAUUCACGCCCUCUUGAAGAGACCUUUUUUCCACUAUAUGCAAGUUCAGGCUUCAAAGUGGAAUGAAAGAGCAUAUGUUAGUUGUAGGAAAGCUAAACUUAAUCACGAAGACCUUCGCAUGGCUGUAUUAAUUCAAGAAGUCAUUUGUGGUGAUUAUGCUUUUGUUAUUCGCACAAAAAAACUCAUUAUCAGGAGGCACCUCAAAAAUAUAUGUAGAGGUAAGCCUCCUUUUUUGGUUCUAUAUGAACUUAGUGAUCUUAUAAGUAUUUUUCAUCUAUCUUCUUGGGUUGAAAACAGAUUGUGACAGUUUUGGGAAAGACAUUGGUGGGUGCAUAUCCAGGAUACGCUUUGAGUUUCAUUAUGAAAAAGAACAACCUAAGAUGUCCAAUUGUAAAGCAGUUUCUUUGCAUCUCUUAUUCGUCGAUACAUUCUCCAUUUCACAACUAACUCAUAUUACUAUAGUGUCAUCUUCUGUGUGAAUCUACUAAUUUUGAAGGCAAAUCUAUGUUAUAGUUGCUAACAUUAUUUUGAUUUAAUUCAAAUAAUACAUAUAUAUUUUUAUUAGUUUCAAGGUUCUUCUGGAUGGAUGUUGAGUGUGGUAGGAGCUGCACUGGCCGCCUAUCCAAAUGGAGCCUGGAUUAUGGUGAUUUAAUACAUUGUCACAACCUUUUUAUAAUGUCUAAUUACCAAUUUUCCCUUAAUGAUUCUUCCUAUGCCAGGUGCUAAGAAUUAGAUUUGUUACUUAUGUUUACUUCUGCAGUGGAUGCAGCACUGGUCAUUCAUUGGAGGAAGCUGGGAUAUUUUGGAAUCUAUUAAUGAUAGUUUCUUUUUUAUUGCAAGCAGCUGAUAUUGAGCUUAAGAUUCUUGGUUUUCUUACUGAAAUCUAAGUAGCUAACCAUUUCCAAUUUCUAUAUAAUGCAUUUAUGUAACAUGUGAUAUUUAAUCAUUUGCAAGAAGUAAUCUUUUUGGAUGCCGCACAGCGAUUAAAAGUUUGAUGUUUACUGUUGGAAAGUCCCUGCAUUUUAUUGGUCAAAUUGUAACUUAAAAGGUUGAGAAAAUUGUGUGAGUGCAUGCAUUGUAUUAAAGAAUAUUUUCUUGCAUUGGUUGCAGGGUGGUUCAAUAGAUCUAUUUGUUGUAAAUUCCUAUGGUUCUUCAUUUCAAGUAAGUACUAUGUAUUGAGUUACAGUAUUAGGUUUUGUGGCAAUUUUUACUUAAAGUCUCCUUUUAAUGGUCGUAUUAUUUUGGAUCUUGGUUGGAUGUUAAUGUGAUUAUACCAUGUUUAGUGCAGGCAUUGUUCAUUUGCCUACUACUCUACCCUUUUUAUCAAAACUUUGGGGCAUUCCAUUUAGGCAGCUUCCAAAGUAUCUUAAAGAUGGUAUAGCUUGCUAGUGGUAAGCCGUCAUAAUUGUUUCAUUAUCUUCUAUCUAUUGUAAGGUCAACCGAUUCCAUUAUGAGCAGUGUAGGCAAGGAUUGCAUUUCAAAUGGAAGGCAUAGUGUGCCAUGAAUUUGCCCAUAAAUUGCACGUCAUACAUCAUGCAAG